Molecule: transfer RNA, 75 nt
Filed under: Aminipila butyrica
Lineage: Bacteria; Bacillati; Bacillota; Clostridia; Peptostreptococcales; Anaerovoracaceae
Description: tRNA-Gln
Rfam family: tRNA
About the family: Transfer RNA (tRNA) molecules are approximately 80 nucleotides in length. Their secondary structure includes four short double-helical elements and three loops (D, anti-codon, and T loops).
Source: RNAcentral
UGGGGUAUAGCCAAGUGGUAAGGCAACGGACUUUGACUCCGUCACUCGUAGGUUCAAGUCCUGCUACCCCAGCCA